This 450-nucleotide ribosomal RNA is filed under the name uncultured bacterium. RNAcentral's name for it is "bacterial SSU rRNA". It matches the Rfam family "Bacterial small subunit ribosomal RNA", at positions 354 to 796 of the family's 1533-position model. The record is from RNAcentral.
GUGGGGAAUUUUGGACAAUGGGCGCAAGCCUGAUCCAGCAAUGCCGCGUGCAGGAAGAAGGCCUUCGGGUUGUAAACUGCUUUUGUACGGAACGAAACGGUCCUGGUUAAUACCUGGGGCUAAUGACGGUACCGUAAGAAUAAGCACCGGCUAACUACGUGCCAGCAGCCGCGGUAAUACGUAGGGUGCGAGCGUUAAUCGGAAUUACUGGGCGUAAAGCGUGCGCAGGCGGUGCUGUAAGACAGGCGUGAAAUCCCCGGGCUCAACCUGGGAAUUGCGCUUGUGACUGCAGUGCUGGAGUACGGCAGAGGGGGAUGGAAUUCCGCGUGUAGCAGUGAAAUGCGUAGAUAUGCGGAGGAACACCGAUGGCGAAGGCAGUCCCCUGGGCCUGUACUGACGCUCAUGCACGAAAGCGUGGGGAGCAAACAGGAUUAGAUACCCGGGUAGUCC